Molecule: ribosomal RNA, 468 nt
Filed under: uncultured bacterium
Lineage: Bacteria
Description: partial 16S ribosomal RNA
Rfam family: Bacterial small subunit ribosomal RNA
Source: RNAcentral
GACGAACGCUGGCGGCGUGCUUAACACAUGCAAGUCGAACGGAAAGGCCCUGCUUUUGUGGGGUGCUCGAGUGGCGAACGGGUGAGUAACACGUGAGUAACCUGCCCUUGACUUUGGGAUAACUUCAGGAAACUGGGGCUAAUACCGGAUAGGAGCUCCUGCUGCAUGGUGGGGGUUGGAAAGUUUCGGCGGUUGGGGAUGGACUCGCGGCUUAUCAGCUUGUUGGUGGGGUAGUGGCUUACCAAGGCUUUGACGGGUAGCCGGCCUGAGAGGGUGACCGGCCACAUUGGGACUGAGAUACGGCCCAGACUCCUACGGGAGGCAGCAGUGGGGAAUAUUGCACAAUGGGCGGAAGCCUGAUGCAGCAACGCCGCGUGCGGAAUGACGGCCUUCGGUUUGUAAACCGCUUUCGCCUGUGACGAAGCGUGAGUGACGGUAAUGGGUAAAGAAGCACCGGCUAACUACGUG